Paramuricea clavata is the source of this 219-nucleotide non-coding RNA. Lineage: Eukaryota; Metazoa; Cnidaria; Anthozoa; Malacalcyonacea; Plexauridae. The record is from the annotation of a GenBank genome assembly.
AAUAUAUAUUUAUAGCACAACAAACGGUGAAACGGCCAAACUACUCAUGUACACUUUAAUACCUGAAAUUUCCAAGACUAUUCCGUAAGUUCCAUAUAAUUUGAUAAGGACAGCUCUUCAAAUACUGGCAAAAACAUUUCAAGGCAUCGCUUGAGUCCGAAAACACCGCAAAAUUAUCUCCAUAUAUGAAGCAAAAUCUCGAGCAAAAUAACAAAUUUC